GAUGAAGAACGUAGCGAAAUGCGAUAAGUAAUGUGAAUUACAGAAUUCAGUGAAUCAUCGAAUCUUUGAACGCACCUUGCGCCCUUUGGACAUUCCGAAGGGCAUGCCUGUUUGAGUAUCAUGAGCACCUCAACUCUCACGGCUUGUCCGUGAUGAGCUUGGACUUUGGGGGUCUUGCCGGCCUGUGGUCGGCUCCUCUCAAAUGGAUCAGCUUGCCAGUGUUUGGUGGCAUCACAGGUGUGAUAACUAUCUGCGCUUGUGGUUUUCCAUCAGAUAACCUUCAGUGAUAUGGAGGUUCGCUGGAGCUCACAAAUGUCUCUCCUUAGUGAGGACAGCUCUUUGAACGUUUGAUCUCAAAUCAGGUAGGACUACCCGCUGAACUUAAGCAUAUCAAUAAGCGGAGGA
This 405-nucleotide unclassified non-coding RNA is filed under the name soil metagenome. RNAcentral describes it as "partial contains 5.8S ribosomal RNA, internal transcribed spacer 2, and large subunit ribosomal RNA". The stretch from base 1 to 121 matches the Rfam family "5.8S ribosomal RNA", at positions 35 to 154 of the family's 154-position model. The record is from RNAcentral.